Molecule: long non-coding RNA, 1031 nt
Filed under: Lathyrus oleraceus (garden pea)
Lineage: Eukaryota; Viridiplantae; Streptophyta; Magnoliopsida; Fabales; Fabaceae
Description: Pisum sativum (pea) long non-coding RNA (PSAT_LNC000789)
Source: RNAcentral
AAUUAGAGUGAAUUGAAAUGAAGAAAAGGGGGAGAAGAAUUAGGUAGCCUCCAUUUUGCAAAAAUAUCACUCAAACUCUUACUUUGCUAAUUGAGAGUUUCUUCUUCGUCAUGAAGAAACUCUAAAAUUUUCUUUGAGUUGAAGCACCACCAAGCAAUAUUUUCCUCAUCAAACCAAGCCACACCUUUGUUCAUCACCUUCUUCACCAUAACUUUCUCCUCAUCUUCACCAUCAUUUUAGCUGCAUUCAUAUCAACCUAUAUCAUAACCAAACACAUACCUCCAACAUAAAUUAAACAUAAUCGAUUAGUUGAGUAGGGAGUAGAAAAGAAACACAAUCAAGUGGAGAAGAGUCAAAAUUGUGUUUACCUAGCUCGCCGGAAACUGGGUUUGGUCGACGAAAACUUCUUCAGGCCGCCAAAAAAUUCAUCAGCAAAUUCAACCUCGCCGGAAAACUCACUAGAUUCUAGAAAAUCCAAUCUCGCCAAUUUGGUUAGGUUCAUGUUUAUUUCUUAUUCUUUCUCUGAUUAAAUCAUUCAUGUAUCAAUUACACACCAUUACCUUAUGAUUUUACAUGCUACACGCGCUUGAAUGUAACAAACCGGUUUGAUUUUUGAUUUACGGUUCUUGUGGUUUGAACUUGCUUCCAAAAAUGAGUUUUGGUUAGAUUUAUUUGUGUUAUGUUGAUUUUCUUUUGAGAGAUUGAGAGAGUUUAUUUUAUUGUUGUGUUGGAAUAUUGAAUUUGAGAUGAAAGAAAUUAUGAGAUGUUGAAAUGUUGUAUGUUUUUGGAAAAUUGGAGAUAAAGAGAGUUUGUUUGUUUUUCCAAAGUAUAAGAGGUGACCACCUUACCCCCUAUGUGCUCUGCCUCCCUUUGUUUUUUUUUAAAACUAGGUUAGACAUUUUUUGUGUUUUGGAAAAUGGGUAUUGGAUUGGGCCUGAGGCCAUUAAUUCAUUUCUACGCUCGUCCUUUACUUCUUUCCUCUGCAUGUUAUUUGUUAUACAAACUCGGCCUUAGGCCCGAUGGAUUUCUAC